Molecule: unclassified non-coding RNA, 274 nt
Filed under: uncultured fungus
Lineage: Eukaryota; Fungi
Description: partial contains 5.8S ribosomal RNA, internal transcribed spacer 2, and large subunit ribosomal RNA
Rfam family: 5.8S ribosomal RNA (bases 1-52)
Source: RNAcentral
AACGCACAUUGCGCCCGCCAGUAUUCUGGCGGGCAUGCCUGUUCGAGCGUCAUUUCAACCCUCGAGCCCCUAAUUGCGGGGGCUUGGUGUUGGGGAUCGGCCACCCGUCUCCGGGAGGCCGGCCCCGAAUUUCAGUGGCGGUCCCGCCGCAGCGUCUCUUGCGUAGUAGUAAACCACCUCGCACUGGAACGCGGCGCGGCCACGCCGUAAACUAAAAUUUUUUUUUUUUCUGAAUGUUGACCUCGGAUCAGGUAGGAAUACCCGCUGAACUUAA